Leptinotarsa decemlineata (Colorado potato beetle) is the source of this 314-nucleotide long non-coding RNA. The record is from RefSeq and is a predicted model, not a curated record. NCBI's taxonomy places the organism in Eukaryota, Metazoa, Arthropoda, Insecta, Coleoptera, Chrysomelidae.
UUUUGUGAUUUGUUUUGUUUCCGUUUAGUGAGUUUGCGAUUGUGUGUGUACUUUGGAUAUUUUUGCUGUUUCCUAUGUUUGAUUUAUUUUUAAAUUUGUUUUGUUAAUGACGCCGGCUGUUCAAAUGUGAGAAAUUUAUUAAGAAUAAUUUAAUUUUGAAGAUAUAACACUGUUUCAUAAAACUAUCACUGCAGAAAAUGACUGACGUACAUGCACGGCAUUGCCAAGUCUGCAAUUUGGACCAUGAUGAUGAUCCUUUGCAUAACAAUUCUCUUUUACACAGAUUCAAUUUCUUGCUUUUCGAGUGGUCAAAA